Molecule: RNA transcript, 8256 nt
Organism: Pseudopipra pipra
Lineage: Eukaryota; Metazoa; Chordata; Aves; Passeriformes; Pipridae
Gene name: transducin-like enhancer protein 2
Exons: 5
Source: RefSeq, a predicted model, not a curated record
GCUGGAUGCUCCGGCCCGUCCUGAAAUCUGCGACCGCAUCAAGGAGGAAUUUCGGUUCCUGCAGGCGCAGUACCACAGCUUGAAGUUGGAAUGUGAGGAGCUGAUGACUGAGAAGACAGAGAUGCAGAGACAUUAUGUCAUGUGCUAUGAGAUGUCCUAUGGCCUGAACAUCGAAAUGCACAAGCAGGUAAGUGAGUGGGGUCUGUGCCAGCAGCAGGAGAUGGUGGGGAAGAGGCCAAGGUUGGAGACUUCGUUGGAAAAUUCCCUUCCUCAUCCCCGUGUAGCUGUAAUGGCACGGGAGACAUGACACGGCUCUCUGCAAGGGACUGGCUUCAAAGGAGUCCAGAUGUUGUCGGGACAUGUGCUGUUGAGUUCCUUGGGACAGGGACCUACCAAUCCAAAUCACCACUCAGAGCCUCUAUGUGAGCCCUGGUGCCUUCCUGCGGAGGGUCCCUGGGGCCUGAGUUGAGGGAGGGAUGUGGAAGAAACAGCAGAAGCUGGAGCCCAAGGGCAAAUGGAUUGUCUUUCUUUUCUUUUUUUCCCAAUCUCCUUUUCCCUAAGUCAGAGGAGUGUUUUUACCCUUCCUUGGUUCCCCUUUUGUUCCAGUGUUAAUUUGUUUUCCCUCUUCAGAUUUAUCAAUCUAGUCAUCAUGGGCUCUCUGCCAGGGAAAUUAGUUUGGACCAAUGCCUGACAAAGUGGCAAGUCAACUGCCAUAUUCCUCCAGCUGGCUCAGCCCCUCUUGAGUUUGCUCCUUUUGGUAGCAGGGAGUAUGGUAGACCAUGAGCAUAUUCCUGCCAUCCCCACAUACUUCAAGAUCUGGUGGGACUGGGACCCACGGAUGGGACUGGGACCCGGGGUGGCCCAUGCCACAUGGGGCCAGUGGCUCUGCCCACAAGGCGAUAGAAGUGGGGGCCAAGCAGGAGAAGCAGGAGCCCUGACCCACCUGGGUCCAGUUCCUGCUCUGCCUGGGCAGGAGAGGUCUGGAGGGGAGGUGUCUUUGACUCCCAGGGUCCUGAGUGGGCAUUGUGGCAGUGGCUGAGACAGCAGCUGGGACCUGCAGGUGAGCAGGGCGCUGAUGGGUGCGGGGGUGCUCCCAGGGUGCAGCAGGUAAAUGUUCCCUUUGUUGGCUCUGAGCGUGGUUUGACCUCUGCAACACUGUCGGGGAUUAUCAGAAAUCUGAGAUGAAAAAAUGCUUCAGAGCAGCCAGUCCCUCCACCAGUGCCAGGGUAGAUUUGCAGUGAGGGAAUCGAGUUUUCCCCAGGAGACAUGGGUUUUCUCUUGGAGAGGCUGGGCUGGAAGCCACAGCCCCUUUGCUCAGAAGUGCUGCUUACCCUGGUGGGGCCGUGGCUGGGCUGUGGGUCUGUCUGUUACCACAGGCUCUCCUCAGAGGAUACAUCAGGUUCUCUGCAUUCCCUUGUUGCCGCUGCGGGGCAGGGGCAGGUCCGAGGUGUUCUGUGCCUCUGCUCCCCCUUUGGAAGGAGCAGGGAGAGCUGCCAGCUGGCCCAGGACUUGAUGGGGAUGGCAGCGGGGUCCCUGCUCUGGGCAGGGCAGGUACCACCAUCAGUUCCUUGCAGGGUUUGCAGGCACGAUGCCAAGAGGGCUGAAUCUGUGGGAGUUCUGUGUCCCUUGCUCUGCCCUGGCUUUAAGUCCGACACUCGGGGACAGCGCAGUGUGUGGGUGGCCCACUGCCAGCGUCUGCGGCUCAGCUCUGCCCCGUCCCUGCCUGUGCCAGUGGCAGCCCCAAAGCCAACCUGGGUUUGGGCUGAGCAAAGCCCUCCGUGAGGCAGCUGGGAGGGCGUGAGGUCCCCGUCACAAAGAAACCUUCUCUAAUUACACCAGGGUUUACACCAAGUAAAGAUUUGAUGCCCAAAGCUGAGACUUCAAGGGAAACUACUGUUGUAAGCCCCUGGUAGAAACUAUGGGAGCCACAAAUCUGGGGCAAGGAAUUUAGAAACCAGAGCCUAGCUGCAUGUGUGGGGGUGAUGGCAGGCAUCCAGUCCCCCUCCUGGACCAUGGCCUUGGAGCAAUGCCUACAAGAGUCCCUCAGCUCCCCAUCCCUGCCUGACUCUUUUUGCCAGCAGAGACCUGAAUGAGUUUGUUCUUUCCAAAUGCUGGUGGAUUUCUAGGAGUGAAAAUCAACCAGGGAGGGUUGCUAGACCGCAGCCACAACCCUGUGCUUGGAUUUGCAGCAAAUGCCUGGCACGUUUUCCCUGGACUCAGGGAGGUGGACCUGUUUUGCUAUGCAUGUACGAAAGCUUCGGAGGCUUUCCAAGCAAGGUUUUUAGGCAUGGCUUCCUAAGGAAAUAGGAUGGGUGUGAUUCAGGAGGUCUCAGCUGGCUGGUCGGCUUGUCCCCUCCUGGCAGCUUUGGACCUGUUGCCACAUCUAGGGAAGAGAUUCCAAAGCUGGCGUAAUUCUUGAAAGUAGGUGGGUGGAUAGAGGUUUCCCUGCUUCCCUGAGGAAAACCAAUGUGCUCAUCUCCCAUUAGACAACAGAGAAUCCACACUUCAGGUGGACAAAGUGGGAAAUCAGGUAUGAUUUGUAAGCCCAUGUCCUGUUGUUUCCUGUGUUACCCUGCAGUGCCCCCCUCUCCUCCCUGCCCGAGUAUAUGGGGCACAGCCUUGGCAUUAACAGCCUCUUCCUCUUCUCCCCUCUGCCUUGCUGACAUGGAUCUGCUCAGAUAUUCUCCCUGCUGCUGCUUGGCUCCAGAACGUGCCCCAAGCCGGAGCAUUUCUUGUUCCCCCCUUGAGUGCCUGCAGGAUGAGGAGCAGAUGGGCCUGAAGCGGAAGCGGGAGGAGAAGAACCUGCCUGGGCAUUCUGCAGUCCAGCUGAGCCACGGCUGUCUUGGUGCCCGGCUGCCCCACGUCCCAGACCUUCACGCAGCCCUUGCCCCCCGUGUAGACGUGUCGUGUGGAGUUGCUGAUGGUGACGGCGCAGACCACCUCGCCGUGGGUCAGGGUGUGGAGCUGCCGUGCGUGGCGGGGGAUGCCGGAGCCGAUGAGUGCGUCAGGUGGAAAAGGCACCGGCUGCAUCUGCCCAUCGGCACUGACGUGGAAGGAGUAGGCACUGGAACGGAGCAGAGCAGUGAGAGCCAGAGGAGAAUCCUGCAAGGUCAGUGGCCGGUGCCACGUGGGUCCCAGCGGGUCUGACAAAGGGAGCACGUUUUGGGAGUUGGAGCCAUGAGCAGAGCAUGCCCAGUGAUGCCAGUUGUGCUCCCCACCCCUGCUGGUCCUGGCUUGUCUGCAUCACCCAGGUUCAGCCCCACAGGUUACCUCAUCCCCUGCCCCAGCACAGCCCGCAGCCCAGCCCGGCCCUACUUACGGCUUCCCCGAGGUCCCCACUUGUAUGCCGGCCACCAGCCCAGGGAUGCGCAUGUGGGGGUGUGGGUCGUAGCCCACCUGGAGGGGACAGCAGGUGAGAGUAGCUCACACUCCGUGGCCCCCACGGCCCCGCGGGGAGCAGGUCACGCACCAGGGGGGAGCGUCCGUAGCUGCUGGCUCCCAUGGCAGCUGCAGCCCCGUUGAGCUGCGGGGACAUGAGGUGGAGGCUGGCAUAGGCGCCAGUCCCGGCCACGUCCCCAUUGACUGCAGGGUGGGCCAAGCCAAAGGCAGCCGAGUAGGGACUCUGCACUCCCAGUGGAUUCCUCAGGCCCAGGGCUGAUGGGGGAGAGGCAGUGUGAAGGGACAGGGCUUGGGAGCCAGUGCUUGGAGACACCCGCCCGGGCCCCAGUGGGGCCAAGCUCACCCAGAGGGUCUAUGGGGGCCUUGGCAGCAGCAGGGCGAAACUGCUGGGCCCCACCGGAGCCUGGGGCCGUGGUGUCACCCUGGGAAGUGGGGGUGCUGGACUUCAGGCUGGGCGUCCCUGCCUUCUCCACCUGCCGGAAACAGCACAGGGAUCUGACAGCUGCACCACUACCCUGCCAGGGGGUCUCCUCCGGUGCUCUCCAGCAAGUUGGUCCCUGUUCCUCCCCCUCAAUGACAGCCCAGCCCAGCCAGCACUGCAGGCUCUGUGGGACAGGACGUGAGCUGGGAUCUAACAGAGCAGAAGCCCCGUCCUGUCCCUCCAGCACUGCCUUUGCUCCAUGGGUUUGGAGACAGGUAGACCCAUGUCUGGCCACUCUGUCAGCUGAACCUGGGCAGCAGGGACACAAGCAUAGGCCCUGAGUGAAGUGCCCCAGCUGCCCCAGGCACUGCACGUACUGUGGGUGCAUCCUUGCUCCGAGAUGGGGAGCUGCUGGAGGAGGUCAUGGAGGUUGGGCUGAGUGGCAUGGUCUCCUUCCUCCCCAGUGGGACCUUCUCCACCCCAUUUUCCCGGGAUGAGUAGGAGUGGACGCUGUGCGGCGAAGAGGGGUCCUGGGGGUGGGAGAGGGAAAUCAGCAGGCAGCAGAACAGGCAGGAGUGCAGGGAUGUCCCAGGUCAUGGUGAGCUGGUGGCUUGAGCAAGGGCCAGGCUGGGAGCCUGAAUCUUGGGGCUCAUUGCUGCCGUUGGCGAGGGCCAGGGAGCAUGACUCAGGGGUACCACUGGCACCUCCCUGUGAUGCCCACCUCUGCCUCUAGCAGCCUGUUAGCCCCCAACUUGGGGACAGACAGCACACACUGACCCUGGCCCCCUCCCAGCUGAUGCACUGACCUCAUCCACCACCAAGUUGUCCUCACUUUUGUCUGCAUCGCUGCCCUGAAACACAGAGGACGCUUGAAGACAAAGGGGCUGCAGCCACCCUCGCUCCUGCCUGGGGAUGCACCGGAGGCACAGGCAGCUCCAUUCUUUGCCCCGCAAGAAGGGAUGGGGCCACCCUGCCCCCCACAGCCCCAGGCUCACAUAGUCUGUAACAAAGUCCUUCUCCUCCACCUUCCUCUUCUUGCUGCUGCUCAGGUACUCAGCGAUGGCUCGUGCCCGCUCCCCAUUUGGCAGUGCCAGGGAGCUCUGGGGCGGGGGGAUGCAGUGUUAGCGGCCAGGGAUGCUGUGCCCGGCUCCUGGGACAGGCAGCACCAACACGGGGCUGCGGCUGACUCCUGGAGCACGGAGGGCCCCAGCGCAGCCCCCGUGCCCUGACUGGAGCCUGUGCCGCCACAGAAUGAUGCAAGAGAAGGAAAAAGCACUUACGGGGCCGGAGUCUCGGUCUGUCGCUGUGGCAAUGCAGAGGCGCAGCAGGAGGAGGAGGGAAGGGGGGACAUGCUGUGCCACCACCAAGAGCCCCCCAGGAAAGUCACCCGCUUCUCCCAUGGGUGCUGGGGUGCUCACAGCAGGGCUGGGCCAGCAUGACAGCAGCAGGGUGGUCCUGGGCCCCCACCAGGGAUGACCCCCCACCAGCCCACCUCACCACCCUUCCAGGAGGUGCCGCUCAGUGGGGGAUGUUCCCCACGCAAACCUCUCAUGGCUGCCAAGCCCCCUGCCCUUCCCACCCAGUCAGCACACCUGAGGCGUGGACAAGCAGCCCCCCAUCCAUCCCUGGCCCCCACCCUGGGGAAGUGCCUAAGUAGGAAGACCCUGGGGAGCAGAAGCAGCUCCAGGGCCCUGCCCCACCUGUUCCCAGGUUCACUCAGAUCCGACAGCACCCAGCCCUGGUUCCCCCCACACUUACCCCUGGGCUCUGUGUCAGGGACUCCUCGGUCAUCCUUGGUGAGGAGCUGGGCCUGGGCCCCCAGUGCCCCUGAGAGUGCCAGCAGCCCUGAGGCACUGCUGAUGCCAGCAAGGCCAGUGGGCUGCAACCCAGAGGGGUGGGGGGUCAGCGGGAUGGGGGGAGUGUGGUGCGAAAGGUGCUGCGUCUGGAGCUGGUGCUGGAGAGGAGCAAGAUGAGAGAGAAAUCGAAGGGCUGUGCCAGGACAGCUGCUCGGCACAGGGGGGAAGAGGCAGCCCUGGAUCAGUCAGCAACAGGACUUGGGUGAGGAGGGGCAGGGCAUGAACCCAGGAUGUCCCCAGCCACAGUGUGGGGGCCACCAUGUCCCUCCCACUGACUGCCCCCACCCUGUGACAGGAGCUACUGGGACAGAUGGGGGACCCUGCCAGUACCCAAAGCACUGUACUGCUGCAUUCUCACGGGAAUAACCAAGGAGUGGGGAUGGUGGCAAUCCCCCUUUCACCUGGGCCACAGGGCAUCAGGACACAGGGACAUGCACCAGCCACCACCUCCACACCCAGCUGCAUCUCCUCCAUCCUGAGUACUGCUGACAGCCCCCCAAACCAGCCUGGUUUGCCCUUCUCCUCCCCCUGACUCAGCUGUGGGUGGAAGAAGGCACUCAGGCCAGGGGCCACAGUUGCCUGGUGUGCCAUGGGCAGGAGGAGUUUUCAGCCCAGGGACAGCAGGAACUCAGGAGGUGCCCAGCAGAGCCCAGCACCCCAGGCCCAGGAGUGGCGGGAAGGGUGGGCAGAGGGUUGACGUACCCCAAUUGCCACGUUCAGGUCGGUCAUAGUCACCUGCUUCGCACGCUCCACAGCCUGGACCACUUGCUGCUGGUGCUGCAGGGAGAGAAGAGAGGAGCUGGGGCAGGCUCAUUUCUUCAGCGAAUGGGGCAAAGCCAGCUCUCUAGCCUGGCCCAGAGACCAGGGCUCCCUGGGCCCCAAAGGACCUCUGCAUACCUGGCUGGGGCCCAAUGGCUUACCCACCUCCUGAGAUAGGAACGGGAUGAGCUGAGCGCAGAUCACGUUGAGCCGCUUGGCGAUCUCUGUCUGGAAGUGGAAGAGAGGCAGUGCCCAUCAGGGCAAGGGGCAGACUAUCCCCCGUGCUGAGGGGCCCCAGUGCUGCGGGAGAAUCUACUCCCCAUGGGUGCUGCACAGAUGCCACCCGAGCCUCAGGGCACUGGCAGUCAGCCCCAAGGGCUACUGCUCAGCACCAAGGAGCAGAAACACCCUGGGGGAUGUUUCUAGAGAACAACUCUCCUUCCUAACAAUACCCCUUCCAAAAAGCAGUAUCCUCCAUCCCCACCCUGAGAGCCCCAGGAUGGCUUCCAUCUCCUCUCUGCCAGGGACAUAAAGCCCCAUGGCCCAUGCCAUUGAAGGCCACCCCCAAGCAAGCCCCCAGCCCUGCAGCCAGGGCCCCAGCAGGCUCACCUCCGCCCCCCACACAGCCUCCUGUCGGCACCACGACCACUACCUGCCGCUCUCCUGGCCUGCAGGAAGCCCUGGAGAGGUGCUCUACUUACAGCUGCUGUUUUUCUGCAACACUUGAGUGCCACUGGCAAUCAAGAGCACAGAGGGCGAGCGCAGCAUGGGGAGGGAGAGCGGUGCUGUGUCACGGUGCGCCAUACUCCCAGGGCAUCCCACUGCCAGCUUCCAGGGCCCCUGCUGGCGCCACACUGCACAGCUCGGGCGAGGGGAGAGCACAGACAUUCAGCCAUCCCUGGCCCCACAGACACAUCCCUGGGAAGAAGCCCCAGGGGCUGCAGGGACAGGCCCCUGCCUCUGGUACGAGCAGGCAAUGGCCGAGAGAGCAGACACUGCUUGAGGCACCAGCAGAGACACCCACACAGAGCUGGGGACCCCCAUCCCUAGCAUGGGAGUCCAGGUAAGACGCUGUCCCAAGCUCCAAGGAGCUCCCUGCCCACCCUGGUGGGGUAGAUGAAAACACUACCAGGCCAACACGUGGCUGAGAGGAGCCCCUAGAGGAGACCAAAAGGUGAAGGGCCCCAACAGCCAGGGAUGGAGCUGACCCCUGGAUCUCCCCACCAGAACGUUGGGCACGUCUCCCAUGCCCAGCUGGUGCAGGCACCGCAGUGCCAGGGUGAGGGGCUGCAGCACUGCUCGGCUGGUGUGGGGACACAGACCCAGGGACACCUUGUGCCGCCCUCCAGAGCAGCUGCCAACCCGUUCUUGCCAGACCCAGAGAAUAGAAUACAAAUAAUCUGGCACCUGCCCUCGCUUCCCCUUCUGAGGGAGGAAAAAAGAGAAAGAAAAGAAAGGAAGAGGGGGGAGCAAGGAGAUUUGGCAGCCGGCGGUUCUGGGAAAGAUUUAGCUGUCUCCUGAGGCCAGCAGUGAUGGAUUCUCUUCCCUAAUGCACUGAUGGGCAGCAGCUCCUUGGGGAGAGCUGCCUCCAAUUCACUCGCACUCGUUAAUGUGCAAUUUACUGGCACUUUAACGCUCUCAGCAUGAAAAACGAUCACGCUGUUUGCAGCCCCCCCAGCCACCAGCACCAUCACCUCCUCUCUGGCUUGUGGUGAGCAAGUCCUAGUCCAGGCAGAUUCAGGGAGGUGGUUUUAUAAAAAGCUACAGGCCCCUUCAACGCCAAAAACAAAGCAACAAUAAAAAAUUAAUGUCUCACGCUCA